Molecule: ribosomal RNA, 301 nt
Filed under: uncultured bacterium
Lineage: Bacteria
Description: partial 16S ribosomal RNA
Rfam family: Bacterial small subunit ribosomal RNA
Source: RNAcentral
CAGUAGCCGCGGUAAUACGAGGGGAGCUAGCGUUGUUCGGAAUUACUGGGCGUAAAGCGCGCGUAGGCGGCUUUUUAAGUCAGAGGUGAAAGCCCGGGGCUCAACCCCGGGAUUGCCUUUGAAACAGGAAAGCUAGAAUCUUGGAGAGGUCAGUGGAAUUCCGAGUGUAGAGGUGAAAUUCGUAGAUAUUCGGAAGAACACCAGUGGCGAAGGCGACUGACUGGACAAGUAUUGACGCUGAGGUGCGAAAGCGUGGGGAGCAAACAGGAUUAGAUACCCCUGUAGUCCCUGUCUCUUAUAC